AACGAACGCUGGCGGCAUGCCUAACACAUGCAAGUCGAACGGGAUCCGAGCUUCGGUUCGGUGAGAGUGGCGAACGGGUGAGUAACGCGUGGGAACCUGCCCAGAGGUACGGAAUAACAGUUGGAAACGACUGCUAAUACCGUAUGAGCCCGAGAGGGGAAAGAUUUAUCGCCUUUGGAGGGGCCCGCGUCAGAUUAGGUAGUUGGUGGGGUAAUGGCCUACCAAGCCUUCGAUCUGUAGCUGGUCUUAGAGGAUGAUCAGCCACACUGG
This 270-nucleotide ribosomal RNA is filed under the name uncultured bacterium. RNAcentral's name for it is "partial 16S ribosomal RNA". It matches the Rfam family "Bacterial small subunit ribosomal RNA", at positions 29 to 316 of the family's 1533-position model. The record is from RNAcentral.